This 3200-nucleotide long non-coding RNA is filed under the name Helianthus annuus (common sunflower). RNAcentral's name for it is "hypothetical non coding rna". The record is from RNAcentral. Lineage: Eukaryota; Viridiplantae; Streptophyta; Magnoliopsida; Asterales; Asteraceae.
AUAAAUUAGAGUCAAAUAUGAUUACAAAUAGUACAUAAAUCAAUGUAACAAUCUAUUUUUUGUACAUGAAUAAAAGUAAAAAGUUUUUUAAGCAAUAAAAAUACACUUUAGGCAACUUUUAACCCGUUUGACUUUUUUGACCCGUUUCAGUUUUAGUUAAAUUUCAAAACGUAACAUAUAUUGACCGGUUUCUACCACUAGUAGCAUCAAAAACUAUAUAAACAAACCAAAAACUAUAUAAACAAAACAAAAAAAAAAAAUCAAAACAAACACCAUACCUCUAAAGUCGGUCCAAUCUUGAAACCCCCCAUGAUUUCCUCUUUAGACACCAAUGUCAAAAGCGGAAUAAGUGCAAACGGGAUCUGAAUACUCUGAAGAACAUUAAGCCAUUCAUUCAACACAUCUAACGAAGCUUCCGACUUAUUAAACACAAGCGCGACAAUCAUAGUCGGCACGAUCGCGCAACUUCUAGUAAUCAAAGCCCUCAACCACUUUUUCAACCGAAGGUUAAGAAACCCGCCCAUUAUAAACUGACCCGCGUAAGUACCUGUUAUGGUGCUACUUUGACCCGCUGCUAAUAACCCGAUUCCCCAAAUGUAUAAAACCGGCAUAAACCCUCCACCGUAUUUCUUUUCGAGAUAUUGACCCGCGUUCACGAGGCCUAUGGUGUCGGCUUGUUUUGUGUUGUAAAAUCCCUUUGCGAAAACGGUUGUUACGCAUAAGUUGAUCAUGAAGGAGAUGAAAAGGGCGAUUGAGGACUCAAUUGUGUAGUAGUUGAUUGCUUCUUGAACGCGUCCUUUUUUGUUUGGGUCAAUUUUUCGGGAUUGUACUAAAGCGGAAUGUAGAAAUACGUUGUGAGGCAUUAUUACACACCCUACUACUCCGACUGCUUGCCUAAUUGUUCUUGAACUCAGCUUCGGAACCAAAAGACCUGUAAUUAAUUAUAAGUAAAUCAAGAAGAACGGGUGGGUUCGAUUAUGUCACGGGUCAAAUGGGUUCGGGUAAAAACGGGUUACGUUUUAUGGAAAUUUGGCCACACAACAUUAUUAGUAAGUACACGUACAUGCAAUUUGUGUGACGAAUAUUAACAACUUUUUGACGAAUACACAUUUUUGGCUAUUUUGCACACUUGUUCUUGAUUUGACCCGUUACAGGUAACAUAACCUAAAUCGACCCGUUCAUGGCGAAAUGGGUUGAAGUUGAAAAUUAUCGGUACAAACAUCAAAGAAUUCUAACCUAUUAGAAGUUCCUUGCCACUAGGUUGUGCAUCAGCAAACAUCCAUGCAAAUGAUAGUCCCAUAGUUGAGAUGAGAACCGCAAAAACGGCUUCCAAAUUCCUCACUCCGUAGUUCUCAAGAAGUAAGAACAUGAAACUGUUCACGAAGGUUAUACAAAAUUAAAAUAUGUUUAAAAAAAAGAAUAAAAAAGGUGAAUUACGUAAAACAGGUCUUAUCGUGAUUAACAUAACGCGAAAAAAUAUACAUUAGCUUGAUCAUUUUGAAAUCUCCGGCGGGACGGGGAAUACCCUUCCGGUGAGCGAAGGUGUACCAGUCUCCGGCCGUGAUAAACUCAUAAAAAUACCAGAAUACGUUCAAAUCCGGAUUAUAACCUAAAGCCCUACAGGAGAUUUCAAAAUGAUUAACCCGGCUGAGUCCGAACGGGUUAACCUGACAUUCAGGUGCACCCGAAAGAACCGAAGGACUUUCAUCAAAAAUCUCGUAAAGGGGACGCGAUAGUUUGCGAAAUUACAGACACGCGUAUAGAAGGGAAAUUUGCUGGAAAGAAAGGGGUAGAUAGGUUUAUCACGAGCCGGAAGCUCCGGAUUAAGGUCAGGAAUUGUCAGCCAUAACAUUAGUUCAAUCCAAUAAUCAUUAAUUUUCAACAAAAUUAAAAAAAGAAACAAACUAACCAAUCAGAAGCAGUGAUCACAACCCCAACCCAGAUCGGAAGAACACCAUUACUAAGAAUCUGAAUAGCAAUCGCACUCCCAAUCACCUCCUGAAUAUCCGCACCAAUCAACGCCACCUCAGCCAUAACCCACAACACCAAUCCGGUCCACUUAUCAUACUCCUCUCUACAAAGCUCCGCCAAAUGCUUCCCCGUAGCCACCCCCACCCGAGCCGACAACAAUUGGAUCAACAACCCCAUUACCGUCGCCCACAUCAGCAACCAUAACAACGAGUACCCUGCAAUUGUUAGCGGUGUUCAUUACUUGAAUCGCGCUCGAAUAACUCGAAAUUUGAUUCAAUGCCAAUAAAUAAGACAAAUUCAAAUUUCUGUUACUCUACCCCAAAAAAAAAAAAAUAAAAAAAAAAAAAAAAAAAUCUUUACUCAUUGCCUCAUUCAGUCAUUCAAACUGCUAUCACACGACAAUCACGACAUACAUACGUUAACCUUGAUCCAGACAUUUAUAGUGAUUUGUGAUUAGUGAUUUAGGUAACUUUUUUUGUAACUUUUGUAAAAUUUCUGUAUUUUUUUCGUAAGUCGAAUAAACCUGAUUUCAACUCAAAUUCGAAUACCCGAUUUGAAUAACCUGAAAUUCGACUUAUUCGACUCGAUGAACACCCAACCUGCAAUCACUCUCUAGUUCCUUUUCCUAAUUCUAAUAAGUUAAAUACACCCGAAUUCGACUCUAAUUCAAAUAAGCUUAUUCGAAUCGGUUUAUUCAAAUUUCAAGCUACUUCGAAUCGAAUUCAAGUAACCCAAUUUGAAUACAGAUUCCAAAGCUUCAAAUUCAAACAACCCGAUUCAAAUAACCCGAAACCCAACUCAUUCAAGUCGACAAACACCCGGUACCUGCAAUAGCACCAGCCUGAAGAUCCCCUUCCAAAUUCCCCGGAUCUAAAAAGGCAAUACUCAUCAAAAACCCUGGACCUGUAAACAACCAUAGUUUCCUCCAUGAAAAGGGUGGUGUGGAGGUGUAAUCGGAUGAGUCAUCAAGGCCGUCGAUUAUGAUCUUUUCGUUGGAUUCGUAGGCGACUUCUUCGUCGGAGAUAAGGGGAGUGUUGUCGGUGGAUAAGGGGAGGAGGUGUUUGUGAUCUGAUUCUGGUUGGUGGUCUUCGUUUGAAGGUUUUGAAUCGUUUGAUUGAGGUGGAGAUGAAGCGUUCAUUGUGGUCGCCGGCGGGAAGAGGUGAUCUCCGGCGACGGAAAGAUCGGAUGUUAGCGUUUGUUGUUUGUAGGGUGCUCCGUCGGCAAUUGGU